UGAAAAGUGUUUGUGGGAAAAAAUAACUUUGUGGCUUUGUCUUUCGUUUGCUUAUAGUAUUUGAGUCUGUUGAGUGACAUGUUGUACGUCUGUGAAAACAUGUCACUCAUAUGUUUGUGUUUCUGUGAUUGUGUCAUGUAAUGGCCAUGUUCAUGGCCCUUUGAUUUAUAUGCAAAUAUUAGAAUACAUGCUAUGGCUCUGUUAAUUACCAUCUUAUUUUUCAUCACCCAUAAUUUUGUUUCGCAUCAUAGCUCCAAUUAAUCAUGAAAAUUGAUGCAGCUCCAGUUAAUCAUGAAGUUGAAGAGAACGUAAUAUACGUACCCCUACAUAAAAUACUAUGGAUAUUGAUGGACUUAUAGUUCAAGUAGUUUAAUAUACCUUUCAAUCUGAUCUAAGGUUUGAUGUUCGAUUUCUCCUCUGUUAACACCGUUGGUAUUAAGAAACAAAAUGAAGACAAAUAUGACGGAUAUGUCCAUUAUGUUCUCUAUUUGAAACCCUUUUGGAUCUAGGGAUUGCUAGCUAGUAUGCUCGAUCAUCUUUAUUUAGCACUUCAAGAUGUUUUGAUUCCGUUUGCUCUUCCUUUGAGCAACCAAAACGAAUGGCACAAAAACGAAGAAUUAGAAAUCCCAUUUCACUGUAUUGGUGGUGUGAAUAGGGAGAGGGUGUCUUAAUUUUUUCUCACAUGGUCUCGCUUGAUUCGUUUGAGAUAGCGCCAACUAGGCGUCUAUAUUUCAUUUAAUUCCUCAUGAAUAAGAGGUUAGAAAGGGAUUAGUUUAUCUGAGAUAUUGAGAUGACAUAUUGUAACUUUAUAAAUUUUGAUGGGCGUAACUGUAAAUCUCAACAAAAUUACGUAAAAUACAAGUCAAAUAAAGAAGCUCUCCUUGUAUUAUUCUUCAACGUUCAAAUAUUAUUAUGUUGUAUGUCUAAACCUAAAAUAAAUGGUUUCCUUUCAAAACUGUUCAUGUAGCCUUCAACUUAUUAUCUUAACCAUCUCCGGCAACUUCAAACAUUGAAGCCUUCUGCACGUAGGCACUUGAGAUGAGCAUCGAUCCAUUUUGUGCAAGCGUCUUGACCAUGCUCCACAAUGCAUUCAUCUCGCAGCUUCUUAGUAUCCGGGCAAGCACAGCAUAUCUUCUUCUUCGGCUUUGUGUCCAGGGCAGGAGUAGUGACUGCUGACCCUUGAUUUGGCUGCGACCCUUUCAAAACCAAGGCAGAGGAAGUAUAUUCCGCUGGCAGUCCACCCAUUUCUCAAAUUUCUUGAAGACCUAUUAGAAAUACACUAUUAAAAACCGAAAAAAAAUACAAAGAACAUCAGCUUCGACUCAGAGCAGCCUUGAUGUUAAACAUGUAUUCAUUAAGGGCGGUAUACACCAUAUCUUACCUAAACAGAGAGAAUGGAAAAAAGAGAUACGGCGUCUUACUUUACUAGAACACAUCCUAAAAUUCAUUGAUCGCGCAUUAGCCUAAUCACUAGACACUAGCUCAUGUAAAACGAAGGAAAUCACCGUAAAGGAAAAGCCCGUUUAUUUAAGCAUGCAACGAGUUCAGAUCAACUAAACCACGCCUCUAAAUUCCAUUAAAUACAGAAAUCAAUCAAUUGAGACCAACCCUUUCAUAUCAUAGCAAAGGUGAACCAAUUUCAAUACUGAAGCAAUUCAACCAAUCUCCCAAAGUACUGGUAAGAGCCUAUUUACCAGCUUCUUUCAGCUUCAAACCGAAAAUCCGUUUUCCUACUAUUUUACUUGAAUUCAAAAUUCUCCAAACGGGCACUAAUCUACAGAAGGAACUCAAAACUAAAAACCCAAAUGAAGUAAUAAACUUUUUUCACACUGAUUCCGGAUUUCAAUCAAGAUUCAAGACACACCCUUUAUCCAAUACCCACUCUGGCAUUCCUUCAAGCACAUGGUGGGCACUUUGUUACUACAAUCAACUCCAUCAUACAUGCUAUACAUUUACCAGAACUAGCAGAAACUACCAAUACAAAGGGAAAAACAGAAAACCCAGAAGAAAAUUAAAGCAACCCAUCUAAUCAAACACGAAGACAGCCAUAACCACAGAGAUUUUGGAACCUUACAUCUAAUUUAUUGGAUCUCAGAAGGGUAACGAAAUUUGCAACAGAAAUGUAUGCGAAAAGGAUGGAAUUACUUACCAAUGAUACGGAAGGUGGAGAAGCUGAAACGAAGAAGCUUUGCGUCUUCUGCAGAAAUUGGGAGCAGCGAAAAGGUGUUUCUCUGGAGACGAAAGUGGCCGCUCAAAAUUUCAAGGCUUAAACUGGGCCGCGUAUGAGUCGAAAGGUCAACCAUGUGUUGGGCUCAGUGGGCCUACACAAAAUAUGCUGAAAAGUUUCAUUUUUUAAUUUUUUUUUUUAAUAAACGAUAUUAUUUACACGAAAUGAGAGAGUAAGGAUUUAAUCUCAUAAUAGGUUAGCAAUAGUUCAAAUUAAUAUUUAUCAAGUGUCGAUGAGAAAUGAAUACUACUAGACAAUAGUACUAAGUGGCUUUUUUUUUUUUUUUUUAAUUUUGUUAGUGAUAAAAUAAACAUUUGGACGAACACAAAGCAAUAUGUAAAUUGUUAGGAAACCAGGGGACUUUUUGACAAUACAAAUCUCCUUUAAUGUAACGUGAUUAUAGCCGUUAGAUUGACAAGUUUACUCAGACUUCUCUAGUAAGAUAUAGAUUAAUCAACACUAUGUUGAGAGUGAUCUCAUGAUUGCACAGCCAACUAUUAUCAUGAAUUCCAAAAAAUGCAAAUGUGAGUUACCUCAAUUGGUCACACAUUGUCACGAAACCAAGUAAAAGACACGAAUAAAUGCAUUUGUUGUCAUUUUAUUCAUUCCUUAAUGUGAAAAUUUACAACAGGGACACAAGCGAAUGUGCAAAAUUGCAAAUAAACAAGAGAGUUUGUAGAACAUGUUCAAGAUUAACAAGAUCCAAACAACCUAUAAACUAACCAGAAGUGAAAUCUUAUCUUUGUUUUUCUCUAUCUGCAAUUCUUGUAGUUACCAGAAUUCAACGUCAUUUGUUUUGUUAGACAAAAUCAUUCCAAUUUCCAACAUGAUCAAGAAGUUGAACAACUCGAAAUAUAAGAUACUCCCGAGCACCUUAGAAGUUUCGCAGCAGAGCAAAUGCAAUUCUCUACUAAUCAUACUUCUCCCUCCAUGAGUACACAAGAAGUAACACCCAUGAAAGCGCCAAUGUGACGUCACCGGCGACAUGUUUUGGCCAGUCUCCGGCGAGCUCUUCGAGGUUCCUCUCGAAGUAAACUCUCCAAAUGGCCAUGGAAAUGUGGAGCAACACGCAACCCUUGGCAAAGAAGCUCUGGAACUUAUGGUCUUUGACAAAAGCAACCAUGAACAGAAGGAAUCCAAUGGCAAACAGAAGGAAUCCGGAGAAGGAAUCCGCUGUUCGGAUCAAAAGCCGGUCGUGAGGCGUCGACCCUUGGAGCUUGCUUGCUGUCUCAUGGCCAUGGCUGAACACAGAGAAUUCGUAGGAGUAGAACAUCAUGAAAGCUCCACAAAUCAGAGCAAUCACAGAGUGGAGCAUGCAUAUUAGAAAAAACCCAGAUAACCCCAUUGCUCAAAAUCCCAAGUAAAACACUAAUCUUUCUUCUCUUCACAAAUAAACUUCGAGACGUGGGCGUAGUCACAUUAGCCAGAAAAGACGUGCUCCCCUGUGCACCGAGUUUGAAUCCCCUUCUCCUCCGCAGUUUACAAUAUCGCAAAAAGGAUCACAUAUAUAUCAAAAACCCUAAACCCUGAACUCUCACUUCACAAAUCCCAGAAACCGGAGCAAGUAAAUUGAUCAGAAGCCAACCUUACUUAGCUUCCACUCUAAAACUCAAAAAACCCAGAUGCUAGAUUGACCCACAGACCAAGAUUUCAAGAUUUUUAAGAUUUGAAAUAAAGAAUCAAACCUCAAACAAGGAAAACCCUAAUCUUAUUUAUCAAUGUUUUCCACAUGAUUUAAAAAAACAAGGGGGUUUUGCAUUUUUGGCAGAGUGAAGAGAGGAAAGAGGAAUGGAGCUUGGUUGAGAAAUUUCAGCAACUACAACAUGCCGAUUGGCAGGGGAGGGAUUUUUCUAUUUGUGGUGAAUUAUUUUAUCUGAUUUUAUUAGCUGCAGAAAUUUAAAGAUGCUAUAAAUGGAAAGGAUUAUACAGAUUUAAACUUUGCUUCUGUCUACAAAACCCCACAGCUCAUGAACAUUUUCUGGUUUCUUCCUUGUUCUGCAAAUCAAUUGGAACAUUUGUGGGGGUCUACAUUAUUUUUCUAAUUUUCUUUAGGUUGUAUUAUUACUAAAUUGACCAAAAAAACAUAGAAUACACCAUAUCUAGAAAAUAUUUCCUCACAUCCUUUUUCAGAAGAAAAUUAAGAAAAAAAUGUAUUUUUUAGGAGGCUCAUAAAGACUUUUGUCCCUCUUUUGAAGAUUCUAUAUUUUGUCUUUUUUAAGUUGGGAAAAUUUGAAAUACGUCCAAUUUUAUAGGCAUACUUUUGAAAUAGGUCCAAUUUUUAGUUACUUUGGACCAUGGUCUAAAAUAUCCAUAAUAUCCCGAUAUUUUUAUCAAAAUUUCCGUGUUUUUGGACUACCGAUAUUUUUUUGGACUACCGAUAUUUCCGAUUUCAUCGAUAUUUUAGACCUUACUAAGUCACUCAUGUAUCUUACCAUGCAAUGUAUAAAGUGCAAAAUAUUGUAUUAAUUUAUUAUAUAUAAAUAAUUAUGGUGUGUUUAAACUUUUUUCAUUAAUUACUACAUAUUUUCUACACUCACAAUGUUUGACAGCUCGCUAUAUAAUCAACUUAAAUCAGUUAUAUCUAUCAUGCAAUUCAUUUCCUUCCAAUUUUUUGUGAUAAACUAAUAGAUAAUUGACUAAAUAAACAUUCUGCAAAGUUUCAAUAAAAAUUUCCAAGUUUUUCUUACAAUUUUCGUGGUUUUUAUUCAAUUUCUAUCGAUAUCGAUAAUAUCCCGAUAUUUCCAUCGAAAUUUCCGUAUUUUUAGACUACCGAUAUUUCCGAUAUUAUCGAUAUUUUAUACCUUACUUUGAACUCAUAUCAAAAGAUCCCUUUUAAAUUUGAAAGAAAGAGCAUCAUUACGUGAGCUAUUUUAAGAUACUAGUAACGCCUACAGUUUUAUCUUAAAAAAAAACGCAUCUUUAAUGGGAGAUACAAGUUGCUUCGAGAUUGACAUAUUAUAUUUUUAUUUUAUCGGAAAGCCUUGUAAUGGAGAAAUGUAAGUUAUCCAUCUUUGGAUGUGGGUUUCGUUAGUCGAAGAGAGAAAAAUAAAUGAGAUCCAAAUUUACAUUUUUUUUGUUGGAGUACAACUCAUAUUUAGAUUUAUUUUUAAUGUAAAAUAAGAUGUAAAUGUGAUAUUUACGUCACAAAAUUUACAAUUUUCUAUCAGAGAUGUUCUAAAAGCGGUGAAAAAAUUCAAACUCUCGAAAAAAAUAUUUGAAAAAAAAAAUGAAUUGUUAUUAGCAUUCUAAAAUUCUCAUUCUACACUCCAAACUUUUUAUAUUUAGAAAGAAAACUACAUUUGUGAGGAGUACAGAAUGAGAUUUUUAGAGUGUCAAUAAUACUUCCCAACAAAAAUCAUUUCUAAAUAAUUAGCCCAAAGAGAAGUGCGUUCACUUCACGUCUUAAGCUGUCUUACCAUGACUCAAUGUUUUUUUAAUUAGGAAGCUCACGUCUUGCAGAUGUCUAUGGAUUCAUUGGAGGAGGGUCCCUUAAAUUUUCUAAAAUAUUGAGUCUUGUUUAGGAAAAAAAUUUCCUUGUAACCGGAACACGGAUGAUACACCAUGUGUUUUUAUAUAAGUAGUGGGAAAUUUUAUUUUUUUAAUUAUUAACUUUUUAACACACAUAUCACAUCAUUUAUAUAAUGACACGCGAUGAACCACAGCAUGUUACCGUCAUAUUGAAAAAUCUCUCAUUGUUUAGCUCAUUGCAAACGCAAGUAGUUAUUUUUUUAAUAAUUAUACAAAAACAUCUCAUUAAACCCACAUAAGAGAAAGUUUUUGCUCGUCAAAUCAUGAUUUUUCUAAAAAAAGAAUGAUAACUUCUUGUGCGUAAAUGAAAGAUUACAUCGCCAUGCUAAGAAACCCUUCAAACUAAACUUGUUCUUUUUCACAAUGUGAGCUGGUGCUGUCAGAAUCUUGUGCAUCUGCAUAUAAAAAUUAUCUAAAGUGGAUGCACAAGAAAAUGAAUGCCAAGGGUUUGAUGGAUGGUUGGUUGUAAAUGUCCAUGUACAAAGUAAGCUGUAUUGCUUUGUUCUCUCCUGCACCAACCCAAUGACAACUUUACUAUAUCUUAUACAUUGAGAUUCACAUAACAUUAGAAGUAAUCAUCAUCAUAUGAUUCAUAUGUGACCACCACCUCACUUGCAGGCUACAGCUGUGGAAGUGCCCAUUCUUUUAUCCAUAUUAUUAGCGGUCGAGUUUAACCUAUUUAUAUUUGUGUUGUGGCCCUGUCAAUCUACAGGUUGAUUAACAUACAAAAUGACUUUAAAAUAAUAAUUUAAUGAUACAAUAGCCUGCGUUAUUCUUCAAACAUUUGAGAAAAAUUAUUGUUUAAUUGUUUCCGCGGAGUUUUUAUUUUCAUGUUAAUUUCAAAUCAUGUAACAUGUCUUGUUUGGAAAUUGUCAUUCUUGGUAUGUUGCUCAAGAGAAAAUUUUUAUUAUGCUCGGAAAAUGAGUGGUACAUCACGUGUCAUUAUAUAAAUAAGGGAAAUUUUAUUUUUCAAGUUGUUAAUUUUUUAACAUAAAUAUCUCUUCACUUGUAUAAUAAAACGUGAUGUACCACUAGAUAAUCUCGUGUUGCUCAAUCCCUCAAAUUCAUCACGCACACUUACCAAUGCAUAGCCAACUAAUGGCCAUAGUAUGGGAUCACAUGAUUACAGCCUCUUUACGAACCAAUGCUCUAAUCAAAGCAUCAAUCCCUGCUUCUUGCAAAAGCAAACCUCCUCUCCUCUACCCUCGCCUUUCCUCUCCCCCCUUCUAAAACCUCCAUUUUCUCUAAUCAAUUUCUGAAUCUCUAGUGCUUGUAUGUUAAUAGCUUUGCUGACAACAAAAUUUUAUCCAGGUCAGCUAUAUGAAUCUUAGAACGUCACUGUGCUCAGUUUUUUGUCAUAUCUUCCGCUAGAUUCAAGUAAUCCAAGUCUCUUCUUAAAGUCUCUUCCAAGUCUUCCUCUACCCCUUUGGACAUGAGUCUCUGUCUCGUAAUCUCAUAUUCUAACUGGGGUGUUUUGUAGGUCUUCGUUUUAUAUGUCCAAUUGUGACUACUCUUAUCUUCAAUUGUGGCUACUCUUAAUUUAUCUUGGAUAUCUUCGUUCAUAAUCUUGUCAUUUUUCGUGUACCCAUACAUCCAAGGAAGCAUUUUCAUCUCCGCUACACUCAUUUUGUGUAAGUGAAUGCUUCAUCGCCUAGCAUUUCAUGCCAUAAAUCAUUGCUAGCCUUAUUAUCGUCCUAUAAAAAUUGUCCUUGAGCUUUAAUGGCAUACGAUAGUCGUACAACACAUACGAUGCACUCUUCCACUUCAUAUAUUCAGCUUGUAUUCUAUGAUUAAGGGCUCCAUCCAAUUCUCUGUUCUUUUGCAAGAUAGAUCCAAGAUAGUGAAAGCGUUAAUUCGCUCUUUGGUACUUUUUGAUCUCCAAUCCUCACGCCUAACUCAUUUGAACAUCCACACUCUAAACUCAUUUGAACCUCCAUUCCCACUAAACUUGCACUCCAUAUAUUUUGCCUUUGAUCUACUUAAGCGAAGAUCUUUAGAUUCUCACACUUCCCACCAAAGAUUAAACUUCGUAUUUACUUCCUCCUGCACAUAUGUAACCAAAUCUUCCUACCCCGUGACAUAUAAAUUGUGACAAAGGGAGAGGGAGAUUACAUUUUCCUAGUCAAAGAGUUCUCAAAGGAAAAAUGAAAAGAAAAGAAAAAUUAGAAUGUCUUGCUGUCUCUACUACACCACCAGCAACCUUAGGAUGGCGCUUCUUAUCUCCUCGUCCACGCUUUUGAGAAAUCGUCUUCCUGAUUGGAGUCUUUACAAAAAUGUGGUACCCUGUGGCAAAGAAGGUGGACGGCGAAUAAUAACCCUUGGAGGCGGGGGAGGAGGCAUGUGCUCCAGUAACUCUCUGUGGUAUACCUGUACAUUGCAAAUUUGCAAUCCAUAUGAACAUAUAAUAUGUAAAGCUUAUGCAUUCAAAAGAAGAGAAAAUAAAAAGAGACAGGACCUUAAAACAUAGUUCGGCAUAUUAUAUACUUAGUCACGUCAACAUAGCACCGUUACCACAAUAAUGCAUCCAAAUCUCCAAGAUUUCAAUACACAGAUGCAACCUUCUAGGGUACUAAACGGGAAGACCUAGCGGCUCCACUGAACCGCGCGACUCUACAACACCCUGACAAGCCCAAAAAUAUUCCAAAUAAACAAGCGAAACACGUUGAUUGAAAUGCAGUAAUAUAUUUUCAAACCCCAUAGGUAUUACUCAAAAAAAUUUAUACCAGAAGUACAAAAUCGUGCCUUUCACAAUCCAGAAAUAUAUUCAUGCUCCAAUCAACUUUUCCCAUUAUUUUAGCUCUCACUGUGGAAAAACUUAACUGAUCCCUGGAGGUAAAACGAUCAACUUCGUUGAACCAAUUGCAGCUAAAUAAAUUUGUGAUGGGGAUAUCAAUGGCGCUAUAAAACCGACAAAAAACACCACUUAUUGUCGGAUUUUUUGUAAAAAUCCGACAUUAAAUCGUACAAUGUCGCAUAAUGGAACCGACGCCAAUACUACUGUUACAAAAGGGUAUUGGCGUCACUUAUCUCCCUUUAACCCGCCACCAAGAACCAAAGUAAUAUAAAAUAAAAAAGAACAACAACGUUGCUUAAAAGCAACGUCAAGCAACAAUUAAAGAAUUAAAAUAUCAAACCUACUGUCGGUCCUAACCAACAUCAACAGUUAAAAUAAUAAAAAAAAUCUAAAUUAAUUAAUAAUAAUAAACAUUUUAUAUCACAAGUAACAUACAAAAACUCAUCUGCCAUUGCCAAGAUCUCAACUUUACAUAUCAAUUUCCAAAACCCAUUACAAAUCAUAAAAACCCCAUUACAUUCUGCUGAAAUUCGAAACCCUAAGAUUUGGGGAUUUCUUAAGCCCUCUCGCCCCUACAUACCACGUACGCCUCUGCCGCCUCCUGGAGCGUAGACACCGCGCUGCUCUGGAACCUCAGAUCGGUCUUAAAGUCCUGUGCGGUCUCCCGCGCCAGGCUCUGGAACGGCAGCUUGCGAAUCAAGAGCUCAGUGCUCUUCUGGUACUUCCUGAUCUCCCUUAGGGCAACAGUUCCCGGCCUGAAUCGAUAAGGCUUCUUCACUCCUCCGGUCGGGGGAGCAGAUUUCCGAGCAGCCUUAGCUGCCAGCUGCUUCCUUGGUGCCUUACCUCCGGUGGACUUGCGAGCAAUCUGCUAGGUACGAGCCAUUUGGGAAGAUGAAAGUGGAAGACUGAAGGGUUUGGGAAGUGUUUGUUUCUCGGGAAAAUUGGAGAGAUUUUGAUUUGGAUUGGAUGGAAAAUGGCUGAGGGUUUGAGUGGUAUUAAUUACGAUUUGGAGAGCAGAGGAAUCGCGGGAAGUUUGAAAUUUUGUGAUUUCGUGUGAACAUUUUGGAGGAGGGGUUUAAAAUUUUGUAAUUUCGGUUUAAUGAAAAUUUGCGUCGGUUAUAACCGACACCAUAUUCUGACACACUUUAUUAAAUACAUGCAGCGUCGGUUUAAAUGGAUUCAGUGUCAGUUAAAAACGACAGUACAUCUGACAUACUAACUGCGGGCUGACGGCCCCCUUCCCAAGUGACUGAUUGAAUUUCUCUUCCCAAGUGACUAUUUAAUAAAAAUUAAAAUUUAUGUCAGCUACAACUGACACUGGCUAUAAAAAUAUUUAAAAACUAUCAUUAGUGUCAGAAAAAAGCGACAUUAGUCUUCUUUUAACCAACGCUAACAUUAUGUUGGUUAAAAGCGACACCACUGUUAAAAAAUAUUAAAAUCUAUGUCGAUUAUAAGCGACAUUAACAUUUUAUGUCGGUUAUAAACGACAAUAAUUACGACACCUUGUAAACUAGGUGUCGGAAUGUCUUAAGCGCCACUAUGUUUUAUAAAAGCGACACCAACCACUGAUACAAUAAGGCCAUUUUGUAGUAGAUUACUGAUAGUUAAGCAAACACCAAGUUGCUGUAUGAGGCAGGGUAGUAAUUUCAAAUUCCCAACCAUGCUACUACAAGCGUGCACAUAGCAUUAGUCAGAACAGAAGUGUACCUCUCUAAGACUUGAAACGGAAUCCGGAUCCUCACCGGUGAGGAUUCCGGGGAUCCGUGAAUUAUAUCCGUUCAUCGUACAUCAUGCGGUUAUAAAUUAUUUUAAAUAUUUUUAUUUAAAAUUAAAUACAAACAGUACUUGACAAAAACUAACUGCACGAUAUACGAUAAACGAGCACGAUUUACGAAUUCCCAACACAUCACCAAAAGAAUCCGGAGAGGAUCCUGUUGGUGAAACGGAUCCACCACAAGCCAAAGCUUUCCAUCAAUCCAUAUAGAGUAUCUAACAUUGGGGAAAAUCUAUGCAAUAGAAGCUUCGGAAUCUGCCACAAAUACAUUAACAUCUAAAAAUUUCCCCAAUGCCUUUUAAUCCGGAUAUUUGGAGCAAACUCUGGACAGCGCCCCACUAUUUCUAUUAAGACUUAAGAAAAAUGCUAAUACUAUGUUUGGAUGAGACAAAUAAACUUAGAAUUUUGACAAAAGUCAGUUUAUAAAUUUACAUGCACCAAUUUCCUUGUUUGAAUUCAUAAACAUGGAAAUUUUGAAUUUAUGGGUGGAAAAAAACUUUGAAUUUGGAACCUCUAAAUUUCUUGUGAAUAGGUAUCAUUUCUAAAUUUCUAAGAGUAAGAGUUUAAAAAUAACAAAUUUUGUAUUCAAAUUCUAUUAUUCUUUUAGGUUAACUAAAUAAGAAAAUUCACAAAUUCUAAAAAAUAAAAUUUCGUCACUUUAACUUUCGUCCUUUUAAAAUUCCUGCAAGCUUACAUUUCAACGUCAAUUUUCGAAUCAACAUUAUAAAAUAUUGUGCAAAAAAAAUAAGAUGGAGUCCAUAGAGAGCCCCACUUUUAAAAGAGUUUCCUUAAUAUUUUUAUUCUAUUAAAUUAAAUUAAAAGCACCACCUGAUAAAAUAGAUGACAUUGGCAUUGUUUAGCAACUCAAACUGUUCUGACUAUUUCAAUCGAAUAGAAUAAAUAGUCACCGGAUAAUACUGACUAAAUUAGUCGGGCGUUUCGUGCAGUAUGGGACUAAUGACUGUAUUAUUUUUAGGAUUUGGAUCCUCUCCUGAGCAAGGGAGACAGAUCGUCCUGACCCAAACACACGAGCCGUUGAAUCACGGAUCCUCCUGACCCAAACACACGAGCCUUUGGAUUUUGAUCCAACGGUUACAAUAGGGGGCCCUUCUAAAAGUUAUAAUAAUUGUAACCAUUGAUUCAAAAUCUAAUGAUCUGUGUAUUUGACUCAGGAGGCUCCAUCUCCUUUGCUCAUGAGAGUAUCCAAAUCCUUAUUUUUACUAUGUUUGGCAACCAAAUAAAAAAAAAAGAAAAAAAAAAUUGACAGGGAGCAAAUCCUAUCUUCACGAUAGGAAGCAAAUGAAAAGCCCCCAAAUUAUAGCAAAACCUAAUUUGAAAAAAAAAAAAAAAAAAAAACUACUGAAAAUGGCUUGAAAAUUUUGAGUUUUAACGAUGACAAAAUAAAGGAUAAAAUGAAUAGUACCAUAAUUGACUUUUUAGUGUAAAAAUAUGAUUUUUCGUUAAAGUAAACAGUACCGAGAGUUUUUCGUUAAAGUUUCCUUGAAAAAAAGGGUAAAUUAAGGAUUUUUCUUUGGCAGCUUUCGUCCCUCAGUGGUCUGCAGUGGUUCAAAGCAAUCGGAUCUUUUGCGAUGUGGGGGCGAUGCGAUGGAUUUUGUGCUUUCUAGGUUUGGGCUCGUGCAGUGGUUCAAGGCGGCAACAAUUCGCAACCACGGGAUCUCGUUUCAAGAUACAACAACAAUGGCAGACUCGAGUGCAAGAUGGUGGUGUGAGCAGUUACAGAGAAGCAGUGGGUCAUGGACAGUGACGAUACGAGUUCCCAGAACGAGUUGAUUCAGACGACGAAGAUGACUCUAGACGGCACAGCUCUCCGAUUCUAGUUCUAUCCCCCACCAUGGAUGUUUGAAUAGAGACGUCAUGGCCUGGGUUUAAUUUGCCACUUCUGAUUUUCUGUUUGUAUAUGGUUGAUGUUGAUCAGAGGUGGGGAGGGAGAGAGAAGGAAUAUUUGUAUGAGCAUUUCGCGAUGCGAGCAGAGAGGUUGAGAGUGCGAUUGUGAUUUGCCUGACUAAUUAUACGAAGGUUCUGGGAAGGAUAAAUUAGAGGGUGUGAGGGGUAUUAAAAUGGUGGGACCGGUUUAAUUUAUCCGGUGCUUAAUUAGUACAGAUGAGCACCAAACAACUUCUAUUGUUUUAUAUGGCGUCCCAAACGAGGCUAUUGACUUUUCCUAGCAUCCAUACACAGCAAAAGGUAACACCAAAACCAAUGUUAGGAGUGCCAAUUUAACCAAGACAGGCCAAACUCCAGUUGCAAAGCCCAACGUCUACAGGAUAAAGGUUCAACAACAACUUACCAAGCAGCACUUUGAACAGAACCUGGACCAGAAGUUGAAUGUGAGCUAGAUGUUGUAGCCAGAUCGGUCAAAACUUAUGGUACAUACGACGAUGCAAACUUCUUCAACUUUCGGUUAGGUGGUAAAAGGGCCAGGCCAGUUUGGUGUAGGUAUUAUGCUCAAAUUAGAGUAUUAUACCAUUCUGUGUAUGUAUGAUUUUAUAUCACUUUCCUCAUACAUGCAUGUCUAUGCUUGUUUCUUUGCAAUGGUUCUAUUAAUUCCCAUGAAUCAUAUAAACUAAUCUUAAUAUAAGCAAUGCUAGCUACCCUCCUAUCUGCAUUUCCUUACUAUUGGUAUCAUGGGAUGGGACUAAUAAACAUGGCACGGCGUUCUUUUAUAUUUAAUGUAGAGUAGGUGUUAUUCACAUACUUUUUUUUUUUAACAAACGAUAUUAUCUACAUUAAGGAGGUGAGACACUUAUGUAGUUUCUUUUCUUUUUUUAACAAAUGAUAUUAUCUACACUAAGGAGGUGAGAGAGUGAGUUAAGCCUCACAAUGGUCUAGCCAUAAUAAUCUAGUUCAAAUUCGUCUUUUACAAGAAUCGAACCUAAGAUCUCUCACUUACAAGUGAAAAUGAUUACCACUAAAACGUAAUACUAAGUGGCUAAUAUUGCUUAUGUAGUUAUAUUGAAAGAAAAAAAGUUUUUAACUAAUUGCGAAUUGAACUAGUUGGUCAAGAUUUUAUGCUCUUCCACUUGCGCACAAGUUUAAACACGAAAAAAGAUCCUCUCCGAAUCCACUUUGUGGAGAUCCUAAAGAUCCCCAUAUCCUAGUCGUUCAUCGUACAUUGUGCAGCCAGUUUUCGUCAAAUACUAUUUGUGUUUAAUUUUAAAUAACAAAGUUAAGUUAAAUGAUUUCUUACCGUACGAUACAAGAUGAACGGCUAAUAUGUAAGGAUCCUUAGGAUCCACAGUGAAUCUAAAUGGGAUCCAAUUGCUUUAAACACCCGUUUGAUUAUUAAAAAGUUGAUUAUUUUUAAAGUCAUUUCAAACUCACUUUCAACUUUACCGUGAAAUUGACUUAUAAAGUUCCCAUUAGACGAAUCCACCCUUGUUGGUAUUAGUCACUACCAUCAGCUUGGCGAAUAAUCCUUGAUAACGAUUUAAUCAAAAUCAUAGAACAUUUGAACAAUCUAAAAUAUGACAAUUAUUUUUUCUUGUUUUGCAUGAUUCAAUUUAUGACUUUUAUUGUUUCAUUCCACAAGCUUAUUAAAAAUGUGAGUAAUAGUUUUUUUUUUUUUUUUUUGAGUAAAAAGUGUGAUUGUUGAAAUUUUACAAGAAUUUUUGUGUGUAAGGUAAGAGAAAAAUAUGAGUCUUUGGAAAGUGGUCAUAUCAUUUGAUGAGUCACAUAAGCAAAAAAAUUAAUAAGAAAUAGUUGUGAGCCCUAACACGUUAACAUACCGGAGUUUUGUCAGUUAGAUCAUGAUGUAUGAAUUUCAAAAAACUUAUUGUAUGACAAAAUUUUCAUGAAAAUAGGUUAUAUGACCUUUUUCUUCUUGCAUAUAUUUGCAAAACCAAUUCAAAACCAUGAGCAACAAUUGUUGAAAUAAUAAGGUUUUAAGUGUAAUAAAAUCACAUAGGAAUUUUUUUUUUUUUUACAAACGAUAUUAUAUAUACUAAGAAAGAGGAGGAGAUGACCUUCGCAUCACAAUGGGCUAGCAAUAAUGUAGUCCAAAAUCGCAUUUGACAAGAAUCAAACUUAAUACCUCUCACUUACAAGUGAAGAAGAAUACCACUAGACAAAAUACUAAAUUGCCACAUAGAUAAAUUUUAACCAAUCAUAAUAAUUUAAUGUAAAUCUACAAGCAUAGACAGUGCUAAACAAAUAUGAAUACUAGAUGAACUUGAGUUGGAGUUAAGGCAAGUGUUCGACACUAACUUGAAAAAGAAUUACGUAUUACGGUUUUUAUAGUUAUCCGCGCUAUAAUCUCUUACAAGGUACAACAACUCUCUUUGCGGGAAAAGCAUUGCAGUUCACAAAAACCGAAUUGUGUAUAAACUCACUCACACAACAGAAGAAUAAUUAUCCUAGAACUCUCUUUAUUUUGGAACUAUGUAUGUGUACGCAAAAAGCGAGAUCAAUUCACUUUGACUACUCUAUUUAGUAGAAGCAAGGUAUAAUCCGAGUUUGUUUCACUUAUGAGAGCCGGAGUUGAAUCCACUCUGAAUUUUAGUGUCUGGAGUUUAAAGAUAAAAAAAAUUGAGGUUUUGAUUUGUGUAGAACAGAAAUCAAAAUUGUUGAUUUGUGGUAGAUGAGCCAACAUAAUAAAUGAAUGUGAAUAGUUGAAUUCAAUUUAUGUGAUCUAAAUUUUUAAUCUCUUAGCUACAGACACUAAAGUUCAAAGGGGAUCCAAUUUCGUGAAGACUCAUCAAAAUAGGGAGGCCAAGAGAGUGGGCCCACAAGCUAAAAGCCUAAAACUUGCCGACAGGAUCCUCUUAAGAUCUUUUGGUAAGGAUCUGAGGAUCUGUAAAUUGUGUCCGUUUAUCGUAUAUCGUGCGAUCAGUUUUUGUCUAGUACUAUUUAUUUUUAAUUUUAAAUAAUUUCUUAUCGUACAAUGUACGAUAAACAGAUAUAAUUUACGGAUCUCCAUAAUUUUUACAAAGAGAAUCUAACGAUGAUCCGGAUUCUAAAACUUGAGGUGGGUCGGUCCCAGGGGCUCGUUUAUUUGUCCGAGUGGGAGAAGACAGCCAUAAAUUUCAUCAAAGCAUGAUUGCGUGGGUAACUGUUGGUAAAUUAAAUAAGACACAGACUGCUCUAGUUAGGUCAUUCAUUGUUUUCAUAAUCUAUAUGCACCAUUGGGUGGACCGACCCAUGAUUAAUAGCGGUCACAUUAUUAACUUAUUUAUUGUUUGUUUACUCGCACUAACUUUUCCACGUCUCGUAUUGUAUGGAACCAGAUUCUCUCUUGAGCAUAGGAUGAGGAUUCUUCUGAUCGGAUCAUCUCGAUUAUUGAAAUUUGAUCCAACGAUUACAAUAAUUAUAACUUUUAAAAUAUCCCCUGUUUAUAGCCGUUAGAUUAAAUUUCAAUGGUCCAGAUGACCCAGUCAGAGGAUCCCCACCCUAUGCUCAAGAGGGGAUCCGAUUUCGUAUUGUAUGGACCUGAUUAGAGAAAUGCUAAGAUCAUUUAUAAAAGAUAUGUCAAAAAUGCCACAUAGACAUAAAACUCGUUUGAAUGUGUUUUUAAAAUGACUAAAAGUGUUUUUGGUGAAAAUGUUUUUAGAACAAAUCUUUAGUAAAAACACUUAAAGUGCUUCCUGGAAGAAGCACAUAACUGGUGCUUCUUGCAGAAAGCACUUUAAGUGCUUUUGGAACCUAAAACAAUUUUCUCUAAAAACACUUUCAGUCAUUUUACAAGCACAUCCAAACGAGCUCAUAUAAUGAUAACAAAUUAUGUACUAUUUACUCCAACCAAGAUGUCAAUGAUGACAUGGCUAAGAUGACAUGGACGAUGUUAAAUUUGAAGCUGCCUUCAAAUUUUAUUUUUGUUAUUUCUAAAGGCAUUCCAAUUGUCUUACCUUAAAUGUUAGUACAUUUAAGUAUUAUUUUAUUAUUUUUAAACCAAUAACAACCCAACUUUAAUUAUUUUUGUUUAAAAAAACAUAAAUAAAAAAAAUAAACUUUUGGCAUACCAAGUGGAAAGAAAAUAUUGGCAAUAUGUUAAAUUACGAAGUCAGUCAUCAAAUUUAUAUUUGAUGUUUUAAAUUUGACAUCUUCUUUGGAGAUGCUCUAAAGAGGGUCUUUUAAAAGUGGUACUCUCUAUGAAUUUUUUGUCGUCUUAUGUUUUUGACACAAUGUUUUUAUAAUGUUGACACGAAAAUUGUUGUUAAAUUAUGAGGUGCCAAAGAGUUCAUAAAGAGUCAUACUUUAAAAGAGUUUCACUAGCAUUUCUCAUCCAAUUAUCAUUAACCCCCAAACAUUUAGACAUAGAAGGUGAUGAUUUGUUAUUGUAAUUAUUUCAUAUCAGUAGCAUUGCAACAUGUAUAAUCAUAAGUCUAAACGCCAUAUUAUAGGAUAUCAACAUCUUGAAGAAGAGGUUCAGUUAUUUUUCGAAGGUAACAUGGUGGCUCAUGAAUUGGUUAAACAUGGACUCUACAAUGGAGGUUUUAAUAUAUGGAUGGAGGGGGAACCACUUUGGCUAUCCCCCUUCCUUUAGUUUGAUAAUGACAACUUAUUGUAAGUGGUGAGCAAGUUGGUGAAGCAUUACUUUUCCCUCUUCUUUGUAGGAUUUUAAUGAGGCUUCCCUUGCUCCCCCAAAAUUCUUGUACUCUGUUUGUUUAACAGUACUGGAAAUAUCAGUUAUGAUAAAAAUAAAAAAAAUAAAAAGGCCAUAACGUGGAAUUGUUGUACGUGUCGGUAACAAAAUGCUACAUGAAUAUGUAACAUUACAAAUUCCCCAUAGGAUGAUAUAUUCACAUUAUCAGAUUUAGGGUUUGUAUGUAUGACUGCAACAUAAUCGUAUAGUUUGAAUGAAUUUGUAAUGUAUUCACAUUUUGGGUUUAAGGUUUGUAUAUCAAUGAUUGCAAUAUACAUAACUAUAAUUCAACUGAAUUUGUUACACUACAUUAACAUGUCAUCUUUUUCUCGUCACGAGAUGUUAUUGUCUCACACAAAUAUUCAUCGUAAUUAAUGGACCCUUGAAUUGAUGAAAAAAUAUUAGCCUUGUGCAACCCCCGGUUCAACAUAACAUAUGCAUCAUGCCAUUGCCAAAGUUUGUCUCAACACCUAGUCUAAAACCAUCAACAAGAAAACCUCGCUGUUGAAAAUGAAUCUUACAUUGAUGAGAGGAUGAAUCUUGCAUAUGCUUAUAAGCAAGUUGAAUUACUCUCCGUAUUGCCAAUUGGUUUUAUGGUGGAAAUCCAACAUCUUUACUCACUCAAACAACACUACUUAGUGCUACAAUUUAUGGAACCAAAAAACAUUGCCAAGCUUACAAUGCUCCUACAAACUAGGUACUUUUCCUAAGAAAUCUUACCUCUUAUGUGUUAAGUGACAUCAGAUGGUAAUGUUCUAGGUUAGUUUUCUUUAGCUAUUAUUGAAGAGUUCUAUAAAAGUUGUUAUUUUUUAGAAGAGUUUUAAAUACAUGUUACUUUAGCCGUUUGAUAAAAGAGAACUUUAACGAAAAGCUCUCAGUAUUGUUCACUUUAACGAAAAACCAUAUUUUUACAUUAAAAAGUCAAUUAUGGUACUAUUCACUUUACCCUUUAUUUUGUCCUUAUCGUUAAAACUCAAAGUUUUCAAGCAUUUUUCAUUAAUUUUCCUUUGAUAAAAACUUACUUAAAACUACAUGGGUAAAUGUCAAAAUGAUCUAGGCCGUCGAAAUUUGAUCAAACAGCUACAAAUAGGGGCCCUCUAAAGUAUAAUAAUUGUUGCCGUUGAAUCAAAUUUGAACGGCCAUGAUCAGUAGAUCCGUGGGCUCAGAUCCUUUGGAUCCAGAGAGGAUCCAAAUCCUUAUUAACCAGAUCCAAAUCCUUAUUAACCAAAUACAAUGCACAACAUCAUUUUCGUUUUAUAUUUAGAAAAUUGUUGAUAUUAUGCUAAAAUCCAACAAGUAUUACUCAAAAAUAGACUUGAAAAAAAAUUGUUACUUGUUGUAAAACUAACCAUUUGGGAGAAGGUAGAGGAAGGGCCGGCUAGAGAAGAAAGAAGAUAGAGAAGAACUUGAGGAAUUAUGUGUCUAAUUACUCAUGUUUAGUGUCUUUAUUUAUACUAAUCAUGAUGAGUUUGUUGCUUACAAGUAAUACAAGUUGUACAUGGAAAUGAUCUUCUAGAUCCUAUUGAUUUCCUAUUUCUAGCUACGCAAUCACACUAGUUUUUAAUCGGAUUCGUUCAAUUUCUCAAUCUUCAAUUGAAGAUCAUCUUUAGAAAAAUCUUGGAGAUUGUUCGGUCUUUUAAAUGUAUCAAAUAAAUAAACUAUCAUCAUAAAUAUGUUAUUUAGUACUGAUAUUGUAGAUUUAUUUCAUACAUUUGGUGCAUAAAUAAUUUCUGAUUCUAAUGAUUUUUCCUAGAGGUGAAUAAGAAAUUGAGGGAAUUCCAUUGUUAUAUUUAUACGACAAAGACAUGUUAUUCCCGGUAUAUGAGAUAUGUGCAUUCUUCCAUGAAGGAUACAAGUAUUUUCCUUACUAUAACGUAGUAAAAUUCAUAAAAGGCUUUUUAGUCAAAAUGGUACAUGAGAUUAACAUAACUUCUUGCUUUGGUUCAUAAGAUUUGAAAUCGAGCGGUCAUUGAGUUUGUUCACCAUCAACCAUUUUGGUUAUUCGAUGAAAAAUUUCUGUUAAAGAAGGACUAAAAUAACAAAAUUACUCUCAAUAUAAUAAAUAAUGGGUCAAAAUGAUUUGACAAACUUGAAGGUAUUUUUGGAAAAUGAUUUGGACCUUCAUGUUUUUUUUUCUUCAUAAAUAGUUGUUUAUUUUGUCAUUUGGGUCGAACCAAAUAAACAACAAUAAACGACAGUUUGACGAAGGCCGCUGAGAAAGCGGUGGAAAAGCCAACGACUUGAAUCAUUGAAUCGGCAUAAACAUUUAACAGCUCAACCCUAAACUUUUUUACGGACUACGCAGACCAAGUAUAUUUGUAAUAGUUUCACUCUCUUUGCAAGCACGUGAGAUGCACUCACGUCUUGGCAAAAGUGCUUUUCUUCCCUCGUUCAACCCUCUUUUUUUAUGUUUAUGUUUUUUUUAAUUAUUCCCUAAUUUAUGUUAGAAAAAUACCAAGAAUACUUUAUGAACCACAUUGUUGUUAGUCCAUUGUAAGACUAAGCUCAUCCCCUCCCUUUAGUAUAGAUAAUACCGUUUGUUAAAAAAAAAAAAAAGGUGACGAAGAAUCCCACUUUGAGAGUCUACUUAGCAUUUCUCUUUAUGUUAACAUGGUCUAAAAUUAGACGUGGUUUCAUUACACUUAAAAUGUUAAUAAAACUUUUUAUUAACAAGAGCAAUAUAAUUUACCCAAAAUUAAUUUAAAUUAUGGGGAGAGGGAAAUGGAGGAAAGCUUGAAAUCAAUGCGUAGUGGGAUGAAGAAAAGUGUUCUAUCCACAAUUAUUAUUCAGUAUUCACCACCUUCCAACAAAUUAUUGUUCUAUCCACAAAUAUUAUCCACGACUUUUUAACAAAAUACAUUAAUUCUUUCUAUGUAAAUGAAAUCACAUAUGAACUAGAAGUUAUAAAUUCAAUUCCUAAGCCACUUAGUAUUAUAGGUGAGUGAUAUUCGAUAUCAAUUUAUCUUUUUACUUUUUAGUGUAAAUAUAUCGUUGUAUACAAAAAAACUCAAUUCCAUAAAAAAAUGCAAGGAUUCCAAAUUAUUUUCAUCACCGAAAGUAAUAUUAAAAAUGUCACAAAUUCUCAUCUUCUCCUUUCUGUUAAUAAAAUAAUCAUGUAGUAAAAAAUUUUGUAAGCAAAAAGAAAAACCGAAUAUGAUAGAAACUAUAAUAUUACAAAUGGAGAAGGCGAUUAAUGCCAAUUUGGCCAAAGAUGGAAAUGAAUUAUUUCAAUAUUGUGACAGGUAAAACAUUGAAGAAAACGACGCAUGAAUUGAGAUAGAAAAUUUUUGAAAUUGUCUAGAAAGAGAAAAUUUCUAGACAUUUAGGAUUUAGUGAUAUUUUCUCUCGUUUUUUGGCAAAACAUAUCUCUAAUUUGAAUCAUCCAUCCCUUAUAGAAAAUAAAAAAAUUUCUAAAAUGAAUUGUUAUUGGCAUUCUAAAAAUCUCAUUUGGCACUCCAAACAUUUUAUAAUUAGAAAGAAAAAUACACUUAUAAGAAGUGUAGAUUGAGAUUUUUGAAGUGUUAAUAAUAGUUCCCUUUCUAAAAAUGGUAAGAUUAAUUAGUUUAAGUUGAUUAAGGUAGAGACGGCGCGUGGGAAAGAUGGUGAAAGAUAAGAAUGUCUUUUACGCCUUAGGCCUGUACAAACUACAGAGUCGGUCUUUUCUCUUGCACUGAAAGCUGCUGUUACUGCUGCGGGACACUCCCCCUUCUCACUCUACCAAUUUUUUCUUUUUCUUUUUACUCAAUUAUUUAUUUAUUUAUAUUAUUCGAGAGAUUUGAUGUUAAUUUUUGUUUAAUUUUUGUAUUCUCUUAAACUCUGCAACUCUACGUGUCUCUCUCCAGCCCCUGGGAGCCAUUGAUCCAUGUCCUUCCUUCUCCAAAUGCCCUGAAUAAUUUUCUAGGGUUUCCAGUAAAGGAGGCAUUUCCAAUAGGAGGGUGCUUUGUCUUGAAGGUGCUCAACAUUCUGCAGGUUGUGCAAAAAGGUUUGGACUUCUUGGAAAUUGGGGUUUUGUUUGUUGUGAAUUUGUGGGUAUUUUUAUUAGCAUUGAGAGUUUGCAUUCUAUGUGGAAGAACUGGCAUUUUGAAGGUUUUAUGUGCUGAAUUUAACUUACUAUGGUGAAAGAUUGAAGAUUUUCAAGAUUCUAGGGUUUGGGUUUCUGAAAUUGUGGGUUUUGCUUCUUGCAAAAGUGUGACUUUGGUGGGUUUGUGAAGGGGGGUGGAUUCAUGCAUUUCGUGCUUGUUGGAUCAUAUAUAUUGGAUGAGUUGAAUUCUGGGUUUUGGUUAGGAUUGUGUGGUCAAAAUGCAAGAUUUCUAAGGGUGAGAACAGUGGUUCUAUAGGAGGGCAUUGUUGGGGGUGGUUUUGGUGCAUAAUGGGUUGCAUUUAUUGUAAGCCCUCUGCAAUUGAGGAUAGCAAGGAGAGCCCCAGAGAGAGAUUGUCCAACAAGGGGGCAUCAGACUCGCGGACGACGAGGGUUGCUUCCUCAAGGAGGGAGGAAACUUAUCGGCCGAAAGAUCGAUAUGAUGGCAAUGGUGGGAGAGCAAUGUUGACUGAUACGCAAGUGAAUGGGCCUGUUCGAUCGCAAGGUGAGAAUUUUGAAAGGAAAAGGGAAAAGAUGGAGUAUGUUGUUGCUCAACAUCCUGGGAUUGGUAUCAUUCCAAAAGCUGCAGAAGGGGAGCAGGUUGCAGCAGGGUGGCCCUCCUGGCUAGCUGCAGUGGCUGGAGAGGCCAUCAAAGGAUGGGUACCCCGUCGUGCAGAUUCAUUUGAGAAGCUAGAUAAAGUAUGCUUCUUUUCUUGUUUAGUUCUCAAGUAGCUUUAUGGUGCAAGAAAAAUCUGCAUUAUUGAGUUUGAAUUUGGUAUUUUCUAUUUCAUUAUUGAGAUUGAAUUUGGUAUUUUCUAUUAUUGAGAUUGAAUUUGGUAUUUUCUAUUUCAUUGAAAUCUGUUUCCUUGUGGUUCAUAACUAAUUGAGGAACAAGGUUUACUAAGUAGCCAAUUUAAAGUUGGGGUUGAGGGCAGUAGUAUUAUUAUUACUUAUUAGUAUUGACAAGUUUAAGAGGUCGCACUUGGUGCGAUGGCAAAUGCCUUCGCCCAUGAGCGGUAGGUCUCGGGUUCGAGACUUGGGAGCAGCCUCUCCAUAAAUGGGGGUAAGGCUAGCCGACAUUCACCUCUCCCAGACCCUGCGUAAAGCGGGAGCCUUGUGCACUGGGUACGACCUUUAUUAGUAUUGACAAGUUUAAGAAUGUUGCGUCAAGGUAUACUUAUGAAUAGGCACAUGGAAUUCAUAUGGUGCAAAAUUCACUCUCAGUUCUCCUAUGUCUUUGGUAAUUGUAAAACUUUUAAAAGUAAAAGGCAAUGGAAAACUUGGAGCUAAGGGCUAGUGUACACAGAAGCGUAAAGCAUUGUUUAUUAAAAAUCAUUUGACAUGGGUGACUUGUUCAAGCAUAACAGUUUUAAGGUAGUAGUUGGUUCUGCAAGUUAUGAAUGGGGAAUUAUCUGCACUUGUAGGAUUUUGUUAAUUUUACUUAGGUAGGUUGGUUUUACAGUUUUAUGUUUUGGGUACUCUAUUGGAUGCUAUUUGGUUGCUAUGCUUAUAUAUGUAUCUGAUUUUCACAAUAACAUUGAGAAAAGAAAAAGGUUUAUGAUAUAUAAUAAAUACUAAAUCGCUCUAUUCGGUUCUUUCCACUGUGAUAUGAUACCUCUAUUUUUGGUUAUUUUCCUUGGUGCUAUCUCUUUACACUUCCAUAUUAGCUGGCUUUGGUUGUGUCCUAAUAUUUAUAUUUUGCAGAUUGGUCAGGGAACUUACAGUAAUGUUUAUCGGGCCCGUGAUCUUGAUCAAAAGAAAAUUGUUGCUUUGAAGAAAGUGAGGUUUGAUAACCUGGAGCCUGAGAGUGUUCGCUUUAUGGCAAGGGAAAUUCACAUUUUACGAAGGCUUGAUCAUCCAAAUGUUAUAAAACUAGAAGGUCUAGUUACUUCAAGGAUGUCUUGCAGCUUGUACCUUGUGUUUGAGUACAUGGAGCAUGAUUUGGCAGGGCUUGCUUCACACCCUGGUCUGAAGUUUACAGAAGCACAGGUACUUGGUCGUCUUCUUUCCUUCUUAUACUAAAAUAACAAGUUACUGUAGGUUUUUUGUCAGUUCUUGCUUCCUGUAUCUGCAUGAUGUUUGUGUUAUGAACUUUCUCUCAUCAGCAUCCAUUGAUGCUACUGGUGUAUUUUGUUUACUUUGACACUUGUGUAGUUGUGUGAAUGCUAUCCUGCAGUUUCAUUUCACUUAUGUAUAUAGGCUACACAACUUAUGUUAUGCUAGUAUCAAGACUGUUCAGUUGGAUGGAUGAUUGAGGUUCAAUUGAUUUAUUGGCAGGUUAAAUGUUACAUGCAGCAACUGUUAUGUGGACUUGAUCAUUGUCACAGUCGUGGUGUUCUGCAUCGUGAUAUUAAAGGUUCCAACCUUUUAAUUGACAACAAUGGCAUGCUGAAAAUCGCAGACUUUGGUCUGGCAAGUUUUUUUGAUCCUUGUCAAAAUCAACCUUUGACAAGUCGUGUUGUAACUCUAUGGUAUCGUCCACCUGAGCUUUUGCUUGGUGCUACUUACUAUGGGACAGCUGUGGAUUUGUGGAGUACAGGUUGCAUAGUUGCUGAACUGUAUUAUGGAAAGCCUAUUAUGCCUGGAAGAACUGAGGUAUUUAGAGUGUUUUUUUUUUUUUUUUUUUUUUUUUUAGUUGAUGCUCUUCACUGAUUUUUAUCUUCCAACUAUUUGGUAGUACAAAUGCGCACACGCAUGUUUCUGCAUUUAAAUUGAAUACUUUCUAGUUGGUGGAAGAAUAAGAAAUCAGCUAAGAACCUUUCUUAUCUAGUGGAAACCACCAUAAUGAAUCAUCUUCAUAAAUGUGUGCUGUAAACUUGCUUCCAUCCUUAUUCCUGAUCUGGUUUGUUGUGAUUUUACAACAUAAACCUAGUGGUGGCAUCUUGCAUGUCUGUCUUGUGGCUUUCUGAAUUGUUGUUCCUGUUAGGUUCAUUAUACACUUCGAAGUAGUUUGAGUGUAAAAUUUCAAAUUAUUCUUCCCCUUUCUUAGAAAUGGUUUGUUAGAUGUGAGAUUGCUCAUUAGAGGUGGCUUUGCAAGUAACCUCGUUGGGCCAUGCCACCAUGAAAGAUUUGUGGUUUUAGCUGGUAGGUUAGGGAUAGUUUAUGUACUGUUUCUGUUUGCAUUCCAGUUGCUCAAUUUCUCUGUGUCCUUGUAGUCAUGCCAACUUUGUAAUUAUUAGGAUAUGUCCCCUCUCCGUUUUUUACAUUCAGAAUCUCAUAUGCUUCUCUCAGAUGUAAGUGUUGUGCAACUAAAUAACCGGAUUUUGUGGAUUUUUACCUUGUAGGUGGAGCAGUUGCAUAAGAUUUUCAAGCUUUGUGGCUCACCUUCUGAAGAGUAUUGGAGAAAAUCAAAGUUGCCUCAUGCAACCAUAUUUAAACCCCAACAACCUUAUAGACGUUGUGUGGCAGAAACUUUUAAGGAUUUCCCUGCACCAGCUUUAGCACUUAUGGAGACCCUUCUUUCUAUAGAUCCUGCAGAUCGUGGAUCUGCAGCUUCUGCUCUCAAGAGCGAGGUUUGGAUCUUAAUUUAAUUCCAAUUUAAUGUUUUCUAAACAGGCAUUAUUUUUUCUGCAGUCUUUCUUUUAACUCGAUAUCUUCUUUGACACCAUUCUCUAUGUGUGCCUCACUACUUGUGCAUGCUUACAUCUGCGGUAGAGCUGUAGAUAUGUUGUGCUUUCCGUCUUUUGCCUGUGGUAUUUUUGAAAGUACAACUUUACUAUGUUCAAGUCCACUUUUCAUUGAGUUCACUUAUUUAACGUCUUCUCUGCUUUUAUGCCAUGUAAUGGUAGCUCUGGAGAUCAUGUUAAGCAAACCACCAGAUUGCAGCAAUUUUUUUUGGUUUUUCCUAUUCUGGACUGCGCUUUUAAAGGCUACAAUGUGUAUUUUAAUUGGCAGGAACAUUUGAUAACUCUCUUCUGCAUUAAUAACUAUUUAGAUAUUAGAAUCAUCCUAUUCUCUUUACGAGUUAUUUUACCAUAACUUUGAUUGUGUUUCUCAUGUGUUAUCUUUUUGUUUCCUUAUUUUUCACAGUUCUUUACAACAAAACCUCUUCCUUGUGAUCCAUCAAGUUUGCCAAAGUAUCCUCCAAGCAAAGAGUUUGAUGCUAAAGUACGGGAUGAGGAAGCUAGAAGGUGAAUGUUGUUACAUAAAUUAGUAACUGACACUUAACUACAAGUAGAAUUUUACCGUUUCUCAAUUUAUAGUUGCAAGGCACUUGCACAGUUGCACCACUAGCGUGUGUUUAUAUAUAUUAUAACUAGAUUCUACACACAUUUUAAGGUACUUACAUUCGUGGCAUGAGUGGUUCAGUCCCAAGAAUAACAACAACAAAGCCUUAUCCCUCUAAGUGGGGUCGGUUGUAUGAAUCCUAGAAUGCCAUUGUGCUCGGAUUUGCUCCAAGUCUUCCGUUGGCCCCCCAAAAAAAAAAAAAAAUGAAAAAGCCUAUGAUACAAGCACUGAGAGGUAAUUGAGCAAGUCGGACAGACUUGAUGCAUGAUACCUAUGGGUGAAGUUGUUCUUUUGUGAUUUUACCAAAGCUUCCAUGUAGGGGUUCUUGGGUUCUUAACAUCAAAUAAUGGGAAACUAUCUAAACGUAAUGGAAUGAGUAGGCCUUGGUAUUUAAUAACUGAUCUCAUAAGAGUCUGGACACUGGAGUUUCCCUAAAGCACCCUAGUUAGUACAAUUUUUCGUUGGUUGGGGCUGUGUAUGGUUGUGAUUUAGUCUCAUUUAUGAAGUGCAUUAGUGUAAAACCAUUUAUUAUUUCUGAGUACAUGCUUACACACUGAUGGUUUUUGGUUGAAUUCUGUCUACUGAUUUCUCAAGAUUUAAUUUGAGUAUUGUGAACCUGAUAUCAAGUUUGGUCCUAUAUGUAUAUUUUUUUCCUCUUCUAUUUUUAACAUUGUUAAUGUGGGUGGUGUAUAUAGUAACAAUCUUUUUCCACACAUUGGUAGACAAGGAGCAGCAGGGAAGGGCCAAAGGUUUGACCACGAAAGGAGAGGAACAAGAGAGUCUCGAGCCAUACCAGCACCUGAUGCCAAUGCUGAAUUAGUCAUGUCAAUGAAGGUAACCUGAUGUUAUUUUAACUAAAAACACUCACUUGGCUCCAUCAUUGAUUUAUGCUCUAACCUUUUAUAUAUGAUGAUAUUUAUGUGUUGCCUUUCUUUUCUGAUUUUUACAUGAACUUGCAGUAUUUAAUUGACAUAUUCAAUGCACUCUUAUUGCAUAGAAUCUGCCAGAAAAUAUCUUAUAUAUUUUCUCUUAUUGCAUCAAUGUUAUCCGGUGCAUGUGAGUUGGAUGCGAUCAUACCAACUCACAUGCACCGGAUCCAAUCAGAACUCCGAAGUUAAGCGAGUUUGGGCGAGAGUAGUACUAGGAUGGGUGACCUUCUGGGAAGUCCUCGUGUUGCAUCCCUCCCCACCUCUUUUAGAGGUCGCACUUGGUGCGAUGGCAAGUGCCUUCGCCCAUGAGCGGUAGGUCUCGGGUUCGAGACUUGGGAGUAGCCUCUCCAUAAAUGGGGGUAAGGUUAGCAGACAUUCACCUCUCCCAGACCCUGCGUAAAGCGGGAACCUUGUGCACUGGGUACGACCUUUUAUUUCUUCUUUAAAAAUCAUGUCUUUUUUUCAAGUUUUCUACUAUGAAAAGGGGCUUUUAUGAUCAACCCAAAUUUUCCCUUGAGUUAUAUAUAGUUAUAUACCCGUGCUUAACUUGUGAUUUCUACCAAUGUGAUUAACUCCGCAUAACAUUGAUGGUCUUGUUAAUUACCGACUUGCUUUUCUUAAACUACGAAAUAAUGUAUUUUUCAGCUGUGAAAUAAUUUCUUUCACUUAUAAUCUUGCGUAAUCCAAAUUGCAUGUUAUUAUUCAAUGCAAGAAAUUGUUGGACUCAAAUUUCUCUUGGAGACCCUUUGUUGUAAAUUAUUCAGUAUUGUUUAUGAUAUUACAUUCAUAUGGGAUAUAUAUCUCAAUACAAGGGAUUUUCUUGUUACAGAAAAGACAAGAUGGUUCUAAGAGCCGUAGUGAGAAGUUUAACCCUCAUCCAGAAGAAGUAGCUUCUGGCUUUCCAAUUGAUCCACCUAGGCCAUCACAAGCCGUAGAUGCAAGUGUAGAACAUCAUGGACAUAAUCAUAAGCGAGCUUCCCAUUCAGGGCCAUUGGCUCACCGGGCUGCAUGGGCCAAGUCUACUAAGAACCCAGAUGAUGCUCCAAAGGUUUCAACUGGAGCUGACUUGUCAGCAAUGUCAGGUUUAGUGGUAGCAAGGAGGAGUAUGUUAUCUGAAGAACGCAGAAAAAGGUCUAGUUCUUCACAAAUGGAAGUUCCAAAAGCAAUAGGCAGGUUUCCGGGUUCCUUCAAGGAGGCAUCAGAUCCCCUACAACAAGAUCAAAAGCAGGUCAUUGAAGGUUCUCAUCAAAAAGAUAUUCGAAGCAACAAAGAUCCAAUUAUUGUGAGUACCUGAACUCACGCCUUUUCCCCUAUGAUGGGGUUUCCUUGUUGAUUUAUAAUCGCUUGUGUAAAAUAACCUCAAGGGUGUGCGUUUUGUUUUAAUUUUGAUUUGUGGUUCAUAAGCUAUUCUUUAUGGUUUAUGUUUCGUUUUUUUUUUGGUUUAUUCUUGUUGCCCAAUAGAUCACUUUUUAUUUCUGGUUAUUUCAGGUUGGUUACGGAUCAAAGGGUCACAAAAUGCACUACUCAGGUCCGUUGCUAGUCCCCUCUGGGAACGUGGAUCAGAUGCUGAAGGACCACGAUCUCCAGGUCCAGGAAGCUGUUAGACGAGCACGCCUAGACAAGGCAAAGGUCAGAAAAUUUCACGCUGAGGCGAACCAAAUAUCCACCAAUUCAUUAUUUGUUUCUGGUCGUUGAGCUGGCAUAAGUAGACCCGAAAGCAGAGCAUCAGCAACAGAAAAAUCACCGCAGAUAAAAUUGCUGGUUUUCUCUUGUGAAAUGUGAGUUAUUCAUUGGUGGGGGGUGCUUUUAUUUUUUUGUAUAGGGGGGGGGGGGCACUCGUGGAAGAAUAGCCGGUGCCCAUUUUUAACUAAGUUUAUAGCACACGCUCGCUUGCUCUCUCGCUCUCUCACCUGUAUCGUUUUCCCUCCUUUGCAACUGAAAAAUAUGGCCCAUUCUUGUAGAGCUUGUUAUAAGCCAUAAGCUGUAGAGUAUGUGGGAAAUAUGAAAAUUGUGUUUUGUGAUGGAAAAGAGUAAUUUCCUUGUGCUGUUCUAACCACCUUCCCCUUUGUCAACUUUAUUUAGUUUUUGGAUAAAAAAUGGGGAAGGGGUGAAUCUGUCUACUCUUUUGAGUUCACAUUUAUAAUUCUCACUGUAAUCAUGAUUAGCCCCCUUUUUCUUACAGCUUGACUGGAAUUCUAAUCAUAUGCUGCAGAAUUUCCUAAUCCUUUGAUUUUUGAGUCAUAUAUGAUCUUGAAAAUAGAGACUACCCAGAUGAUUACAUGAAGACUUGUACUUGCCUAAAUUUUUGUUGGGUAGAUUGACACUAUAAGGUUGAAAAAUGUAUCUGGCUGCGUUUGACUUCUUGUCAUAGGCAUUUUUUUAUUAGAACUUUAUUCUAAUCAAACCAACAUACGGAAAGGAGGUUUCAAACUGUUCUAGCCAACUUAGCUACGUCUAAGUCUGCUCUUGUCGUGGGCAUCGAAAGUCUACGUCUACACACUCCUUUUCUCCUUAUGCACAUCCUAUUUUUUCAUUCCUUGAUUCUCCUUUGGUUUACUUAAUCUAAAGGUUAGAAAUAAAUAAGUGUGUAAAGAAGUAUGCGGAUAUAAGUUCCCAAGUCGGCGUGCUUGUUCAGUCUGGGUUUUUACCACACAAAUGUUGACUUGGAAAAGUUGGGGUUUAAUUCAAUUUUGUUGCUUCUGGAAGGCAAGGCAAGUUCUAUAUAUUUUGACUGCAGGAUGAUGCAGAAGACUCAUAGCUUACUGCAGGUGCCAUAGAAUUCAAUGGAGUCCCUUCGAUUACUUGUACUAUUCCUAACAACCCUCUUUCUCCUCCAAUCAAGUUUUGCAGUUGAUUUCUCCUUCACUGGUUUCAACUCAUCUGAUAUCUUGCUCUAUGGAAAUGCAACCACAGAUUCUGGUGUUCUUUCUCUCACAACCAACACCACAUUUUCCAUUGGCAGAGCUCUAUACAAUGCCAAGGUUCCCACAAGGUAUCCAGAUUCCAUAAACCUUUUGCCUUUCACCACCUCUUUCACCUUUUCCAUAGCCCCAUACAAGGACUCUCUCCCUGGCCACGGAUUCGUCCUUGUUUUCGUUCCCUCUCCAGGCAUCCAAUCCGCCUCUGCAUCCCAACAUCUCGGCUUCUUGAACAAUACCAAUAACGGUAACCCCAACAACCACGCUUUUGGAGUCGAAUUUGAUGUGUUCCAAGACAAAGAAUUCGGUGACAUCAACGAUAAUCACGUCGGCGUUAACGUCAAUUCUCUAACUUCUCUGGCUUCUUACGACGCUGGAUACUGGCUUGGUGAGGGCAGUAGCAUUACUGACUUUUCUUUCAAGGAAAUAAAGCUGAGUAGCGGAGACAACUAUCAAGCUUGGAUUGAGUACUGGAAUUACCAGCUCAGCAUAACAUUGGCUCCUGAAAAUGUGAAGAAGCCUGAGAGGCCUUUGAUUAGGGUUCCUCUUGAUCUCUCUCAAGUUUUUCUUGAUGAAAUGUAUGUUGGUUUCACUGCAUCAACUGGCCAACCAAUUGAAGAUCAUAAAAUUCUGAACUGGAGCUUCAAUAAUUGAAGCUAGUAUAAUAUUUAGAGUAUUUCGUCGAUGUACUCUCUGAACUUGUAGGUCGUUUUUAAUUUUCCACUUUGUUUUUUUUAGAAUAAAUGGGACUCAAACUAUUAAAAAAAAAAAAGCCAAUUACCUCCGUGCCGUCAUAUUUCCUAUAUAGUGCUACAUCCAAUGUAUUUAUCUUGAAUAUGUGAGUUGGAAGAUUUGUACCUUCAGAAACAAGUAAGGUUCAUGACAUGCCUCAUUAACCUGGCUUAAUGGAGGCAUGAAAAUAUUUGUUUCUUGUUUUGAUUUUGAUUAUGUAAAAGUUGAUGGUAUUGUAAAACGAUUAUAAUUCUCGGUCCUUAUUCGUGCAUGAUCUUUGUGAUUUUAUAUUUGACAUUUUUUUUAUUCAAACGAUAUUCUAUUAUAAACUAUUCUAAUUUACAAAACAAAAAAA
This 30160-nucleotide long non-coding RNA is filed under the name Malus domestica (apple). Lineage: Eukaryota; Viridiplantae; Streptophyta; Magnoliopsida; Rosales; Rosaceae. The record is from RNAcentral.